AUUGAACGCUGGCGGCAUGCCUUACACAUGCAAGUCGAACGGCAGCACGGGAGCAAUCCUGGUGGCGAGUGGCGAACGGGUGAGUAAUAUAUCGGAACGUGCCCAGUCGUGGGGGAUAACGCAGCGAAAGCUGUGCUAAUACCGCAUACGAUCUAUGGAUGAAAGCGGGGGAUCGCAAGACCUCGCGCGAUUGGAGCGGCCGAUAUCAGAUUAGCUAGUUGGUGAGGUAAAGGCGCACCAAGGCGACGAUCUGUAGCUGGUCUGAGAGGACGACCAGCCACACUGGAACUGAGACACGGUCCAGACUCCUACGGGAGGCAGCAGUGGGGAAUUUUGGACAAUGGGCGAAAGCCUGAUCCAGCAAUGCCGCGUGCAGGAUGAAGGCCUUCGGGUUGUAAACUGCUUUUGUACGGAACGAAACGGUGAGCUCUAAUACAGUUUGCUAAUGACGGUACCGUAAGAAUAAGCACCGGCUAACUACGUGCCAGCAGCCGCCGUAA
Molecule: ribosomal RNA, 500 nt
Filed under: uncultured bacterium
Lineage: Bacteria
Description: partial 16S ribosomal RNA
Rfam family: Bacterial small subunit ribosomal RNA
Source: RNAcentral